This is a non-coding RNA of Acanthosepion pharaonis, 111 nucleotides long. The record is from the annotation of a GenBank genome assembly. NCBI's taxonomy places the organism in Eukaryota, Metazoa, Mollusca, Cephalopoda, Sepiida, Sepiidae.
UAGGGUCAAAUCGCGUUGAAAACAGCGGUUCUCGUUCGAUCACUGCAGUUAAGCAGUGUCGAAACCGGUCAGUACUUAGUUGGGGUACCGCUUGCGAACCCCGGGUACUGG